GAUACUGAGGCCUCUAAAAAAACUACGAUGCCGAUCGGAGUCCCCCUGAACGGCACAGACGGCAGCUUCCACGGGAAAAAAGGUGUACCAGUGAACUCCCGGCCCCACCUCUCAGGAAUGCCUGGCAUCCAGCAGGCCGCCCUCAUUCCCUCUGGCUGGGUUCAAGUGGAGGCGAGAUCUAAGGCGACCGAGGGCCAUUUGUCCCGGAGAUCAGACAGACACCCAGACAAACCCACCCAUGUUCCAAGAGCCAUAAACCCCCUUUUAGGUGCUGGAGGGAUUACCACUUCACUUUAAAGGACACCGCUGUUAUCAGAUGCGCAUUAAAAUACAGAAACAACACUAUGAAGACCAAACCUUUCACCUGUGAGCUAAGUUCAAUUGAUGUGGGAGCUACACACACACACCUGUGGGGCUGAAAAAUACCACAGUAACGACCCGCCUCCCAGC
Plectropomus leopardus (leopard coralgrouper) is the source of this 450-nucleotide long non-coding RNA. RefSeq lists it as uncharacterized. NCBI's taxonomy places the organism in Eukaryota, Metazoa, Chordata, Actinopteri, Perciformes, Serranidae. The record is from RefSeq and is a predicted model, not a curated record.